This 36727-nucleotide long non-coding RNA is filed under the name Ananas comosus (pineapple). Its description in RNAcentral is "long non-coding RNA (ACOM_LNC020737)". The record is from RNAcentral. Lineage: Eukaryota; Viridiplantae; Streptophyta; Magnoliopsida; Poales; Bromeliaceae.
GCCCAGCGAGCACUUAUAUGGGCCGCGGCUGGACUUUACAGGACGAUAUUUUUGGAAGGAGACAAUGUUCUUCGCAUGUUCUUCUUCUUUAUCAUUCUCAUAAUCUUUGUUAACACAAUGAGAUAGAGAGAAGGAGAUAAGUGUGGGGUGAGAGAUUAGAUGAUAAUAUUUCUUUUUGCAUGAAAAAUAACAGGUCAUGCAAGAAAGAUGGGGUGAGGGGAUUAAUGGUGAAGGGGAGUAGAUUGGUGUUACAAAGUUCAUUAAUUGAUGAAAUAUAAUGUAUGUAAUUAAAUGUGGAGAGGUGAAGGGUUGAGCAUUUAGAAGUGGAGAUUAAUGGUGGAGGGGAAUGGAUUGGAAUUACAAAGCUCACUAAUUGAUAGAAUAUGAUGCAUGCAAUUAAAUAUGGAGAGAUGAAGGGUUUAGCAUAGCAUUUAGAAGUGAGGAUUAAUAGUGGAGGGGAAUGGAUUGGAGUUACAAAGUUCACUAAUUGGUGAAAUAUAAUGUAUGUAAUUAAAUAUGGAGAGGUGAAGGGUUACGCAUUUAGAAGUGGAGAAGAAACAUAAAUUUCAUAUUGGGGAUUUAUACAAGAGAUAAAUAUUAUCUAUUAACCUAGGAAUGAAGGGAUUCUUGCCACGUGGCAAGAAAUAUUGUGGAUUCAUUAUGUUUAAUAUAUAUAUAUAUAUAUUUAUAAUAUAUAUAUAUAAUAUAUAUAUUAGGGGUGGAACGAGCCGAGCUCGGCGAGCUUACUCGGUCAAAUUCGGCUUGAAAUUAAUUUCGAGCCUAAAUUUAAGCUCAAGCUUGGAUUAAUUAAUUCGAGCCGAGCUCGAGCGAGCCUAAUUUCGAGUCGAGCGAGCUCGAACCUAAACGAAGCCGCUUGAAAUUCUAACAUCAUACGAUAAUAGUUAAUUAUAUAGAACUUAUCUAUAUUUGAUACAAAAUAUGUCUAAUAGUUCAAAAUAUAAAAUAAUUAUAUAAAUAUAGUAUUAUAAUAUGAAGAAAAAAAUUUAUGAGUUUAUAAUUCUAAUCUUUUCAACCUCACAUGUCUUUUCUUCCGCCUUCAAUCUCCAUAUUUUCAUUUUAUUUAUGCAGUCAAAAAUAAAUAAUUUAUAUAGAUAAAUAUUGGAUUAAAUUAUCCAAUCAUAUAUAACUAAAAUUAAAAUUUUAUAUGAAUAAUAAUUUUUACUUUUAAAAAUAUUCGGGAUAUUUUUCAAGUAUACAAUUAAUAGCAAGAUAGGCAACGGCAGGCAUAUGCUGCUACUUGGAACUUGGAGGGCUUCGGCUUGGCCAAAUAGGGUGAGAGACAGAAAAGAGAAAGAGAGAACACAUUGAAAAUUUAAAGCUCUAUGAAGAAAGAAAGAAAGGAAAAAUGUAUAAAUUUAGUAAAUUUUGCUUUUUAUUUGUUAUUGGGUUUAUUUUUAUGGGCCAACAAUAUGGCCCAAUUUUAACUAAAUUCAGAUUAUUCACUCAGCUAUAGAUAAUUAAAUAUAUUAUAUUUUAUAUUAUAUAUAUUAUAUAUAUAUAUAUAUAUAUAUAUUAUAUAUAUAUAUAGUGUAGAACUACUAUGUUAUCGAAAAUAUAGAGGAUUUGAUGUUUUCGAAUUUUGACCCUUUGAUUAAGAAUUGUAUGAUUGGGAUGAUUGCGGUCCCCGUAGGAUUAAAUAAUAUCCCUAGAAUUGAGUGGUCCCUACAAUAUAAUAUAGUAUUAAUUCAAAGAAUGAUUAGUUGAUCUAAAAAUCAAAAAAUCGAAAGCAUCAGAUCCUCUAUACUUUAUGUUAUCGAAAAUAUAGAAGAUUUGAUGUUUCAUUUUUGACCUUUGAUUAAGAAUUGUAUGGUUGGGAUGAUUGCGGCCCCCUUAGGAUUAAAUAUAUUCUUAGAAUUGAGUGGUCCUACAAGAUAAUAAUAGUAUUAUUCAAAGAAAUAUAGGGUGAUCUAAAAAUUAAAAAAUGGAAAGCACCAGUUCUCUAUACUUUUGAUAGACAUAUAUAUAUAUAUAUAUAUAUAUUAUAUAUAUAUAUAUAUUAUAUAUAUUUCGAGCUUUUGAGCUUUUCGAGCCUAAUUCGAACGGCGAGUAAUACUCAAGCUCAGCUUGAAUGAAUUUCGAGCUUUUUUUUUUGUUCAAGCUCGGCUCAUUUAAUUUCGAGUCGAGCUUGAGCGAGCCAAUAUCGCAGUCGAAACGCGAGUCGAACGUUGAGCCGGCUCCGCGCAUUUGCGCGCCCUAUUAUUAUAUAUUAUAUAUAUAUAUAUAAAAUGGUAAAAUUAAUUCAUGCUCGGAUUCAAAUUGGAUACGGACAAAAUAUAUUGUUUUUAUUUAUACAGGCAAACCCUUUUUCCUUUUCUGUCAGCCCUGGCUCCCUCGGUCGAGCAGCAGCACAAUCACAGAGGGUAGGGACUAGUACCAGACUGGACUUGGGAGAUGGAAGAAGAGCUCCUGAAGCUUCCUCCGACGAUCCCGGAGGAGUCGCUGGCGCAAGUGCUGGAGUCUCUGUGGAGGACCCGCGAAACCGGGCUCGCCUCGCCCGACAAGUCCCGCAUCCAAUCCCUCCUCAACCUCCCCACGCCCCAACACCUCGGCCCCGUAACCCCCCUCUCCCCCAACCCCCCUCUCUCUCUCUCUCUAAGAAUCCCCAAUUCCUCGUGUUCUCAUUGAUUGCUUGAGAAAUGUACGGGCAUGAUCCAAAUUCGAGCAUGCGAACUUAAUAUCUUUGAUGGCUUUGAUGGCGGAGGUGCUUGUAGUGUCUUUAUGAUGUUUCUCUUUGUGCUCUUCGCUCUUUAAUGAAUGUGCAUAGGGAAUUAUAAGCCUAUAUCUUAAUUUGGAAAAAAAGAAGAAGAAGAAAAGUAGCAUAUUUUUUCACCAUCAUGCAAUCCUUUGAUAUGUUAGCUGAUGUUGGAACUUAAAAUUUUAGGUUUUAGCGUGCCUUCGCUCUAUCAUCAGGAAGUGUGUGAACGAAAAGCUCGCAGGAGAGAAUAUCCAGAAUGUAUUACCUCAUGAUCUUCCUGCGGAACUCAGAAAUGUUCUUGUCUUGCUACUUCAGAAAUAUCAGAAUCAAUGGAUGGCGGAAGCGACAAAGGACCAGGUGUUUUAUCGAGAUUAUUUUUCGGAGGUUUCUUUGCGGCGCACAAUGUUUAAAUUGUUAAUGAUUGGGUCCCAAACCUUUGUAUUCUGAUGCAAUCUAAUCAUUUUUCUUCGUGUGUCUCGGUUGAAUUGGAGAGAAAUGCGCUUGUAUUGUCUAUUGUUAAAUUAUACGAAAGUGUCGUUUUUCUCCAAAAGCUUAAGAUACUAAAUAUUCAUCACUCUCCCUCACGUCUGGGCUCGUGACUUUUUAAUAGAACCAGGAGGUGAACUUGAAUUAAACGGAAGGAAAUUAAAUAACGCUAGGACCCUGGCGGGACUCAAACUCCAGACCUGUUGUUCUUAUAUUACAUUAAAUUAUGCGAAACAACCGUUUUCCUUCAAAAGUUUAAGCUGCUAGAGAACGGUGUUUUUAAUUUUGGGGCUCUUAUAUGACAAGUAGAUGAGGUGGAAAUUUCUCUCCAAUUUUGUGGAGGAUAUAUGAUUGUGGCAAAACAUAUGGGUUUAGGACCCCAAUUGUAACAAAUUGAAAGGUCGGGGACCAUACUGGAACUUUAAGGACCAAGAAGACAUAGAAAGCAUUUCUUAGAUGAUAAUUUCUUUCUUAACAACUUACUGUACUGUUCUAUUUCAAGAAUUUUGUGUAUUCUGGUUUUCCCAGCCUCUUUGGCAGAAAACACGGGUGUCAGAUCAAGUUAAAAUCAACAGACUGCCUCCUUUUGCAUCCUCUACAGCAUCGGAACUAUCAUCGUUACUUUGGCCGAGGGAAGAUGAUGCAACCGCUUACCCUAAGAGCAGUAAUACUGCGAGCAAUGUUGUAGCCAAUCUUCCAAGCUUGUCUUCAACGCCACAUAAUCAAGAUCAUGGUUCCCUGGACGGACUGGUAAAUGAUUAAAAAAUUGAUUUAACGAUACAAGUAAUUGAUGAUCGCUUCUGUAAUUUUGUGGUUCAUGAAAAUGAACAUGAUUUGUCCUUUUUGUGUGUUUUGAUGCAGUUUGUAGUGAUAUCAGUCCGAGUAGUAUCAAUUAACAGAGUAAUUUUAUGCAGUUUGUAGUGAUAUCAGUCCGAGUAGUAUCAAUUAACAGAGUAAUUUGAUGCAGUUUGUAGUGAUAUCAGUCCGAGUAGUAUCAAUUAACAGAGUAAUCUGAACACUCGCCAGCUAUUAGUAUCACAUUGGUGGCAUUCAUUUUAUAUAAGUCUCAGUGCGGCCGCAAGUUUUUUACGAGACAAAUGUUUUGCAUAGCACAAGUAAAAAGAAACCACUAUUUUGUUAACUAUUAGAUGGUUCCUUCUGUUUUACGUAAGAAUAUAAAGAUUGCUCGUGCACCUGCCCGUCCUUCAAACAGAAGCAAAAGAAACAUGAUAUCUACUCUUUGCCAUAAACUGAAGGUUACGAAGCAAGUUUACUACUACAUAAGUUGAGUUCGUUUUUCUUUUUUCACAUACAUACACCUCGGUAAAUGAUUAUGUAUACUCUAGAUUCUACCUCUUCUAAAUGGAUGUUAUCAUUAGCCAUUGGUGCUGCAUGUGUAUUUCAAAGUUUUAUUAUGUGCAAAGUUUGUAGUUUUGAAGUGAUAUCAUUUUAUUUUAGAAAAAAAUUAACAGAUAUAUGUAGACAAACAUUUUGUUUCAGGCAACUUGCAAAAUUUAUUUCUAUGGUGUACGUUAAAAAUAAUUCCAUCUAGCAUCUGUAGGCACUUUUUGCUAACACUAAGUAGUGCAUUGUGUUUUGGGUUGAGUUAAAAAAAAAAAAACUUGUUUACAACAAAAAGUUCCACGGACAUUAAUCUCAGUAUUUCCUACAAUAAUUUAAAUAGGCACUUAGGCAGAUUCCCAAGCCUAUCAAGCUCUAUAUCAAAGCAGCCUAUAAUGGCAUGAAAUCUACUGCUGAAUCAUUUGCUAGGAACAGCUAUUUUUGUUAUACUUGGAGAAUUUAUUUAUGCUUUAUGGAAAUAAUGCAGACAACUCUUCCACGCCUCAAGUCAAUGACGUGGACCAUGGAGAAAAGAAAUUCAGCACCAGCAAAUCGCUUGGCUAUCAUUACACUGAAGGUCCUGUUCUUGUUAUCUUGAACCUUAUUCUGACUUGGGUGUACCUUAAACCCUGUUUCUUUUUUUCUUCAGUUUGAGUUUGAUAUCUUGUCAUGAUUUCAAAGAGACGCAAAUGCUUCAGAAAUCUGUGUACAUAUUGGAAAUUUUUCUGUACUCUACUAGGUGAAGAUGCUCCAUAUAGAUAUGGAAACUACGAUUAGUUUCUGGAUACGCGUAAAUGUAAGAAACAGCUCAAAUAGUUUGAUUAGGGAGGAUGAUUAAAUUCCACGGCUUGUGGCUACAAUAAAAAAAGCUUUUUGAGUGGUCCUUUCAAGAGGAAAAAAAUUUCAUUGCACCUCUUAGUGUGCCUAGCGAAUUCUUCUGUUGCUGAUUUUGACCUUGUAAUAUUUGACACGGGGUGCUUACUUUGUUCUUCUUUCUUACAUGGCUCUGUCCAUUACUUAUAAAUUGAUAGCUUGUGAAACUUGCAGGAACAACAUGGUCGUUUCCAUCUUUUGAAUAUAUCUAACUCCUUUGCCCUUGUCUUUGUAUUUGCAGCUCCAAGAUUAUUCAAAGUCUUCCUCUGGGGAAAUAGAGGUGAAGUUUCAGCUUUCGAAAGACUCACUCGAAGCUAUGUUAAGAUCGAUGACACAUCUCACCGAACUGCUCUCGAAUUCUGUAUGACCUUAACUCAAUCUUAGAACAUCAUUUUAUUUUGAUGAAACUAUAUUUUAUCUUAUGUUUAUUCUUGUAAGUCAUUUAUUUUUUAUUUUUUAUUAAAGUAGAAGAUGAAGUGCCUUUACAUGGUUGAACUUCUGCUGAUUUCCUACAAAAGAAGCUUCAAGUUUCUUGCUAUCAGGGACAGUGCAAUUUGUUCUUAGCGAGAAAUUUUACUUUUGCAUUAUAUCAUCAACAUGUGCUCCAUUAGACUGCUGCUCUAUUUAAAAGAAAAGGAGAUUUGAAGAUUGAAAGUUUAGACACUCGUUUAGUGCACACUACAGCGGUAAAACUAUUAGGAUCAAGUUGAAAACUUGAAGUAGGUUCCUUUACUUGCCCCUCAAAUUUGUUAUACUUAGAUGGAAUAGGUUCAUGAAGCUCUGCCCCUUGGGCAACCUUUAUUUUCUUUUCAAGUUGCACUAAGAAAUCCCAUAUAAAAUACGUUGCCAUCCAUCCACAUGUAUUAAUUGUCUCCAGAUAAUUUAAUGCAAAUUCAAUGUGAUUUGCGACAUUUCCAUAUAUAAAAGUAAAUAUAAGGUUGUUUAUUUGUUUGACAUCUAACGGGACAAAAAUAGUGCAAAUUCACCCAGAUUUAUUUUUAUUUUACAAGCUCUGUACAUUUUAAGAUUUUGAAUUUUCUUUUUAUGACCUUGCUAUUUGCUGGUAGGCCGCAUCACCAUUGGAACCAUCGGCAAAGAAGCAGAAACAGUGACUGAAUGCUGGACUGUUCAUCCUUCGGGAUCUUGACGGUUCUUUCUAUCACCGAAACAAUACUUUCAUUUUUUGAAAGAAGAAUCGAGAAUUAAACAUCCUGACCAAUGUCGACAGCACUAUGAAAACUAGCUAGGAUUUUGUAUUUGGUUCAUUAGAUGACUUAGCUGCUGCAAAGCAAGAUCAUAAUGCUUUAAGGAUGUGCUUGUUAAGAUCACACCAUUGUAACAUCUGAAAUAUUUUCUGGGUUCCAAUUAAAAUAAUUUCUUUCUGAAAAUCCUUUGGUUUCUUUGGCUUGUUGGACUUUUUUUUUUUUUUUUUUUUUUUUUUUGUUUUUGGGCUCGAGCUAUAUCAAGCCUGUUUUGUGCAUGAAUUGCAGAUGGAUGGAUUACAGAUAAGUACUCCAAAACUUUCCCUGAUGAAUAAUCUGUCAUUAACUGAACAUGCUGAGACAUUUUUGUUAACUUCAUGCUCCUUUCAGGUAAAAAGGCAACCGAAAAAUUACCAACUCCUUUUUGAAUACAAUAUACAUUGGUCCUCUUCCUACAGUAAAUUUCUGGAUUAGAAACUUGAAAAUUAAUUGAUGUAGCACUGCUGUGCAUAGUGCUUUAUAACAUAAAAGUAGCAUUAAAGAUUUGUAACGUAUCUUCGAUUCGUGCAGUCUUAUAUAUGAGAGCUUCCUACAUUACUCUUAGCUCUCAGAACCAAGACACAGGCUAAGUUUCUCAUAAUUAUCAUUUUUCAGCUGAGAUAAAAGGAUUGCAGAGAAUGAGCGAGCUAAAUUGGUCGCAGGGACGACAGGACAACAUCCUGAAGAGAGCUAUCUCUCAGCAUGGCGGCUUUGAACUCGUCGAAGGUGACCUUCCCAUCAUUGUUUGCGUCCAUCUGAUCGAAUAUCUCAUCCAGCUUUCCUGGCUCAGUUAUAUCAGCCGGAAGACAAUCCUCGGGCAACGCCUGCAACAUACAUCACCGUUUUGCUUGAUUUAAUAGAAAUUUUGGAGUAUGUUGUAGAGAAAGGAUAAAAGAAAUAGUGGGGAAAGUUUACUCGAAGCAUCGACGCCAAUUCUUCCUUACUGAUGGACCCUGAUCUGUCCGUGUCAUACAUCUGAGCACAUAAUGAGGGGUCAGAUACAUCGGAAAAAAGCUGAACAAGCAUGGAUUGCUCUAGAACAAUCUUAUUUAGGGGUAAAUUAUAUGGAUAGUGCCUCUCUAUCCCAAUAUAAUGACUUAGUUCGUGAACUUUCCAUUUAAAUACUUUUAAGUUCUGGAACUGCUUUAUGUAUAGCAAUUUCAUAAUUGGCCACUAAAGGAAAAAAAAAAAAAGGAAAAAGAAAAGGAAAAACAUGAUUUUAACGGUUAGGAAUGAAAUUGCAAUAUAUGAGAAGGUUCAGGGACUAAAAAAUUUUUAAGUAAAAGGUUCUGGUACUAGCUCGCCAUAUACGGAUAGUAUUGGGAUAAUCCAUGCACCUAAUCCUUAAUGACUACAAAAUAAAUAUUACUUGUAGUAAGUUUCAUAGCUUUCAUUUUAUUCAUGGCUUAGCAUGGACUGAAUCACUGAAUCAUUUUUGUGUCCCACAGGUUCUCUCCUGAACCAUUUUCUACCGACCUCCUUGAAUCAAAAUCAAAUGCAAGGAGAAAAAGAAUAUUAAUCCGAGCUGACCUGAAAGCAGAGUUGGAGAGCGUCAUCUCCUCGCGAAUUUCUGAGACUGGAUAGCCCACACAGAAUCUCCCUCAUGUCCACGGUUCCAUCGCGGUUGUUGUCAAAUAAAUCAAACACGCGAGGAGCCAGAGGAAUAAGUGAAUCCAUUUUCAUUGCUUUCAGUACUUGCUCAAACUCGCUCAGUGUAGCAUUCUCCCCGUUCGAACAUCUGCACUUGGGAGUAUUCAGUUUUCUGAAUCUGGACAGAUUCUUUAUUGACUACAUAAGCUUUCUCUAGCUCAUUAUUAUAGUGUUCUAGUAGUUGAAAGACUCACAUUCGUCUGAAGUGCAACCGCAGUUUCUCUAGUUCCUCUUGUGUGAGAUCAUGGGAUCCAAGCAAACUCUUCAAUUUCCUUGUUCUCAGUGUGACCUUGCUGCUCAACACACUGGCUAUCGCAGCUGCGCGCAGUUUUCUCCGCGCGUUGAAGCUUUGCAGUUUGGAAACGACCUCUGCAUCCAUGAGAUCUUGCUUUGCCGAGUCUCCUAUCACCCAAGGAUGCUUUAGAAGCUGUUUCCAUACAAAGUUAUAGAACUAUCAAACUUCGGCACUAGUUUAAAGAAAAGGUAUUUCCAGAUAUAUCCUUGCAGAAUUUUCUCUUACAUAACAAUCCCUGCAAAAACUGAAUUUUGAUAUUUGUUUUUCAAAAAACUCGAUUUCCUAUACAUGUAUACCCUUGUACUUACUAAAGUCGCAUUCUUUAUAAAGCUAUUUCCAAUCGAAGACCAACUUUCGCCAUGACUUGGAUGAUUCUCCAGGUUACUGUAGUGAUAUUUUUGUAAUGGGUAUACAGUGAAAAUCAUAUUUAGGACAUACAUACAAAUAACAGAAGAAAGUGCAAAACAUACAUCAUCAGCUGUCGGUCUUUUAUACGGCUCGACAGACAGAAGGCUGGAAAUCAAGUCCUUUGCAGAUGAAGUUACAGUCUUCCAUGUUUGAUCCUCAAAGCUGUAUUCACCCUGGAGAGGAAGAAUGUCUCAAGUGAGUUUGGAAAUCCGGAAUCAUAGUGAGCACAUUCCAGUAUGAAGACAAGUGUGUUAUGUUAUACCGAAGCGAAUUUAAGUGGAAUAGCAUAUUUGGUUUGCGAGAUAUCACAUCCAGUAAUUGUAUAAUUUGUACUCUGAUACCAUCUAUCAAUGAUUCCUAUAUAUGUGGCUUGUGAAUUGAAUUCGGCCUGGUACAACAUUGACUUUGUUUUCUCAUUGCCUCAAAUAACUCUCUCAUUUUUCUUGUUAAACCAAUUAUUACCUUAGUAGUGUGUUACAUUUAUGAAAUUCUUUUCUAGAAAUCCCAUGUCUCAAGGAAAUAUAAGAGCUGAAUCCUUUUCUUUCUGAAGCACUGGACACAAUAUCAGGGCCUAUUUCGAUAGCACGCCGAAUGCUGUUUUACAAUUCCUUACAGUUGGUAGUGCUUGGCUGCUCAAAGGAAAGAUUGAUAGAAGAACAAUAAUUGAUUUAUGUCAAUCCAUAAACAGCUAAAACUGCAGUAACUUAAGCUUCUUAGUAGGUAAAAGCCUUUUCUCUGUUACAUUGUAAGUUGAACUAUGACCAACAGAAUGGACUCAGAAAAUGCCAGAUGAAGAACUACUGAUGAACUUACAGCUAAAAUCCUCUGCUGCUUGUCCCGAUUUGUCGGUGCAUGAAAUGGAGGGCACCUGAAACAUUAAUGAGGAAACAAGAAUGAAAAGUUGAAAGAGGCAGCAGCAGCACUCCAAGAAAACUAACUGCAGAACCACAGCAUUACCCAGAUAGAAGGAUGUAAAGAAUCACCCCAAGAGACCACAUAUCACUCGCAGACGACACCUCGCGCCGCGACAGAGCUUCAGGCGAGACGUAAUCAAUCGAUCCAAACAACGCAACAAUCGGAUCGGUGAAAUCCUCUACCGAACUCAGCCCAAAGUCCAUGAUCUUAAGAGGAGAGCGCGAUCCGCUGUCCGAGAACAAGCAAUUCUCGGGCUUUAGAUCGCGAUGAACGAUGUUUGCUCUAUGAAGAGCCGCGAGGCCAUUCGCAAUUUGGUGGACUACCACCGCAGCUUCGAACUCCGAGUAGCGCGGUUGAGCGACUAUCCGGUCGAAGAGCUCCCCGCCGGAGCAAAGCUCCAGCACGAGGUGAACUCCGCUGCCGUCUUCAUAGACAUCAUAGAGGUUGAUCACAUUAGGAUGAGGGGAAACAUUCUCUACAAUCUUCCUCAUGACCAGGAUUUCAUUCGUCAGCAAGGCGUCGGAUAUCGAGACUUGCUUCCACAUGUUCAGUGCCGCAGCAGCCGCGAUGCCCUUCUGAACUCCCGGCGGUGCGAAUCCGAAUCUGCGCAGGGUUUUAAUGGCAACAUCAGUCUUCUGCUCACCAGAUUUGCUGAAACCUCUUCUGACAACAGAGAAGCCGCCUCGGCCGAGAAUGUCAGAGACUUCAUAAUCAUCAGACAGCUUUCUAAUCCCCUGCCUCGACAUUUACUACUCGAAUAUCUGGCGCUGAAUAUUAAUCAAAUGCAAUCGAAAAUUAGAUUACAGUAGUAGAACAAAAAUUCAUCUGUCUCCUCAACUAAUUAAGACCCCAAAUGCUUUGCAAAAUUGAUGAGGAGGACACAGCAAUGAUUGGGCCCAGAAGAGACAAAUGCCAAAGUACAAGUAGAAACUGAUAUUGGGGAAGGAGUAAUAAGGAAUAUAAGAAAAAAAUAUGUAUAUAUAUAUAAAUAUAAAAAUACCCAUUGGCAAUUGUUGGAUUGUUUAAGAACAAAAUAUGGAGGGUAGAGAAAGGGAGGCAAAUGGGGGAUUAAAGAAAUGGAGAAAUUGGGGGAGGGUUUGGUGGAGUUAGUGCCUGUUUGUUUUCUUUUAAAAGAGAUGCCAGAGUAAUGGAUUAACUCGUAACUUCGAAAAAGUUGCAACAUUUGUUUCAACACCAAAAUCACAAAAUCAUUCAAACUUUUUUUAACAAAUGGGCUUAAUAAAUUUAUAUUUGCAUCAAUAGUCUCUUCUUAUCAUACGAGCACUUAGGUGGUGUUUUUAAAUGAAAUACUACACGGUGACGUGUUCUUUUCUAUAUUUUUUAUUCUCUCUAAAUAAAAAAAAAAAAGUUAAAAUAUGGAUAUAAACACAAUGAUACAAUCAUCGUGUUUAACUUAAAAUUGUCAAUUUUAUAGAUGUAUAAAAGGUAUUGGUCAAAUUUUAUAAAAGUUAACUACAAGAGGACAAUUUAUUUGUAAUAUAUCGAUUGGCGAUGACAUUAGUUUGGCUGCCGAAGGCAUUUCAUUAACUUUAAUGAUGGAGUGAAAACACAAAAAUACAAAAUUAAUUAGAAAAAAAUAAAUCGAAUGAAAUAAAAAAUUUCUAUCUGAUAUAUUUUCAAAUUUUGGUUCAAUUUGAUUUUUUUUGGUUUUAAUAAAUAUUAAUUUACCCAAUUUCAUUUAACAAGUUGAUUUCUUUUGUGGACUCUGUAAAUCAAGUAAUAUAUUAUUGUUAGAUAUUUGAUUUGAUGUAGUCACAUUCAUAAAUCAUAACCAUAUAUAUACAUCUAAUCAUAUAUAUCAGAAAGUGAGACAUAUCUACGUACAUACAUUACAUUACAUAUAUACAGAGUUGAGCUGAAAUACUAUCAGUAGCAAAUGGACUCCGUUGCCACCAAUUUAUUUUUGAUAAUGGAGCCUCCAAAUCGUCGAUCGGUAUCGUUGAACAUGAUCUAUAUCAUUUGAAAUAUCUAAAAAUCAAAUUUUAUGCUUUUCCGAUAUUAUUUUUUUGUCCAUCAAGUGGACACAAAAUGAACGGCUAAAAAUGAAUAUUCUUUAAAAAAUGAUGAUAGGAAUCUUGUAAUCAAGAUGGAGAAUAUAGAUCUUGUUCUAAAUAGUUUAAAGAAUUUUCUAGCCAAAAUUAAAUCGAUUUGAAUAUCUUUAAAAUGUUAAAUGAAAAAACGCCUCAUAUCGAUCAUUAAAAUUACAAAAUUUGAAACUCUUUGAUCAUUAGGUCAAUGAUGUCAAAAAGAUAUAAAAUUUAAUUUCUAAAUAUUUUAAGUGGUAUAGAUCAUGUUCAAUGAUACCAAUCAUUGAUUUGGAGGCUCCAUCAUCGAAAAUAAAUAGAUAGCAACGAGACUCGUUCAAUCGUUUGCUACUAAUAGUAUUCUAACUUAACUUCAUAUAUAUAUAUAUAUAUAUAGAGAGAGAGAGAGAGAGAGAGAGAGAGUUAAAGUCAUACUUUGAUUUCAUAAUUUAAAUUAAUUACCUUAAUUAAUUUUUAUAGUUACAAAAAUAAAAUAAAAUAUAUACUAAUUAAACCUAUAAAGGUCGACACAUUCAAACAUUAAAAUUUAAAUAGCCUUUGACUCACUUAAAUCAAAUAAAUUAAUAGAUUAAAUAACAAAAUCAAAAUUUUUAAAAUUUGGUUAGCUAAGUAAAAAUGAUAUACAUAAUUUAGAUAAAUUGUAUACAUUUUUACAAUAAAUUAAAUUAGUUUUAAUAAAAAAUAAAAAAAUUAUUAAAAUAUUAUAAAUUGUGAACCACAUGACCUCUUAAUGGUAGAGAGGAAUGUCAUAUAGCUCCAAAAAUGAAUAUAAACAUUCAAAAUAUAAAUAGGCUAAAUAUUUCAAUAAGCAAAAAUAAACCUUCUUACACAAAAAACUUUGGUGCAAAAUAAGUUUGUCAUUGAAUAUUUUAUUUCAACAUCCAUGCUUCCAAGCCUUAAUCUGAGCAAUUACUAACAAGGCAACCAAACAUAGCAGUGAUAACCCUUAGAAUCAAACACUCUUUUUUCGAGAAAACAUAAAAAACUAUUUUCCACACAAAAAAAAAAAAAAUCAUAAAAACAACACUUCUUUCACACUUUUUAUUUUCCGAACAGCAAAUUCCUAAAACAAAAACAUUACUUUUCAUAAAUUUUGAAAGAAAAAAAUUUCUACAAAUACUACUUUUCUUAAAAACCAAGUGGCCGAAAAAUACUUAGCAGACUACGGAAAGCUUAUUUAGAAAGCACAAAUCAUCUUAAAAAGCAGUAAUCUCAGAUUUAACUAACUUAGGCUUCCCUUUCAGGUGGUGUGGUUCCUCCACUAGCUAUUUGGAGAGUACAGAACAAGUUCGUCGAUUAAGAAACACCGAAUUUACGAAUAAAAACAACAAACACCUAAUAAAAGAGCACAUUGAUAUGAUAACCACAACAAAACGUCUACAACUGAAACUGUUGUCUUAAAACAGCAGUUCUGCCUCAAAAUUCUGCAGACAAAUACAAAAACCAGUAGCCAAGCAUACGAAUGAAUCUAGGCACAAACAACAUGCUAAAGUUCUUUGCUCACUGCUCACCAGGGAUGCUCUUGAGGAUGUCCGAGUCACCUGAAUGAUACAUUACACGACAGUAAGCCAUUAUCAUUCAGAUCGAGAUUAAUCUCGAUAUUGAUAUCGGGAUCGAUGUAUAUAUGUAGAAAAGAGGGAGAGAGCAAAACCGGGGUCAAUAAUGCUGAGGCAGCAAACGCGGAAAUAUUUGCCACAAGCUGUUCCCAGAUCAACAUUGUCUGACCGACAAAACCAACAAAUUAACAAUUAACCAUAAACGGUGCGGCCUAAAAUGGAGGUGAUGUCGAAUUAAGAUAGGUACGAAGAUACAUAACUUAACCUAAACUGUGAACCAUUUUGAGUUGGCUACCCAACCAUUCAAAAUCUUAAUUUUCCUAUCCAACCUUUCAAUUUGUUUGAUUUGAGGCAUUUUGACUUCAAAUUUUGAAUGUGUUAUUUAUCUACUUCAUGCAAUUCUCGCAACUGUAAAUAAAUUAUAGUAAGUAAUUAGCUUAAACUUUAAAGUCAAAGUAUCGUUGACUGACUCACAUCAAACAAACUAAAAAGUUGGGUAGUAAAAUAAAAAUUUUGGAACGUUAGGUAGCCGAUUCAAAAUGGUCCAUAAUUCAAGUGGGUUCUGUACAUCUUUACCUCUUAGAUAAAAUGAGUACUACUACACACAAAUUUGCAAUUCCAAUACUUGUAUCUCAUUAAAAGAAAGAUUGGCAGUCAAUUUGAUGGAGAACAAACCAUAACUUUCAAUCAACAAAAAAACAAAGGAAGAAAAGAAAAAUGAAAGAGCGUGCUACGAACAACUAUAUCAAAAUGACAAAAAUCAACCAAAUAUAGUUAUAUAAGGAGAAAAUGAUAAGAUGCAUUAUAUGAGCUUAUCCACCUUCAUGAGUGAGCAAAGAUAGAAUGAAUACUUACUUCCAUUGAAGUGAUGUACGCCGACCUUCGCUAACAUUGCAUAGUACUCUAUCUCAGACUUUCGGAGUGGAGGGCAGUUGUUUGCAAUAAUUACCAAUUUCCCUGAAGAUAAUAGACACAAAUAAUUUUAACGAAGUUAAAAUUUAAAAAAUAUUGCAAAUAGUCUUCCCAAAAUGACUCUCUAACAAAACAAUCCAGUGGAAUAGAGUAAAGCACAUUAUGAAGACAUCAUUACCAUUAACUGACAACAAGUUGACAAGCUUAAGAAUUUUCAAAAUAUCCAACAAGUCAAAAAUACUAUGAGAAGCAUUGUAUUCAAAAUGGAAAACACUAACAUCAAACUUUAUGGAAAUGUGAGGGAUCUACUUUGCAAGGAAAGAUGAAUUUGAAUAAUAAAGGGGUAAGUCUUGGGGAGGUGCUGAAACCAAAAUCGGAUGUUUUCAUUUAUCCUGGUCAGACUUGGAUGUUUAGUUUAUACUGGCGCCACCAGAAACUCAGAUUAGAACCAAAUAGCUCAAUAUGAGUCAAAAUAGCCCACAAUAACGGCCGGUCUCAAGUACUAGCCAAAAUUGCCUAGCAGGAAAAGAAAUUACAAAAUUAAAAAAAUGCCAAAGAUCGUAUUUCUCUUCAUGCUUAAGGUCAAGGAAGGUCUUCACACUCUGAAUGCAGAGUUUUAAGUAGAAUAAGUCAAAACCUUUGCACCAAUUCGCAAAUUUUAUCAUACAUAUGGCAACUAAGAGGAAAAUAAUUUUUAUAAUUUUUAUUUUGUUAAUUUAACUUACAUUAUAAGAGCAGACAAUAAUAAGAACCUCAGGAAGUGUUUGAUAUUCACAUAAAGACAGUCUAACAUUACUUUGAUAAUCAGAGUAUUGACCCAGAGUAUACGACUUUUUCUGGCAAUAUGCCAGAACAAUCCAAGUAAUCUAUAUGACAACUCUUUGUACUCCUCUCCUCUCUUUUAAUGCACCUCUAUAGCAAUCAAAACCAAUUACAAAGAGAUUAACAGUGCUAUAAAACAAAUUUUGCUCAAUGUAAGCUGCAAUUAACUCAUGGCAUGUUGUGAUUUAUUAACCUAGGGAUGAACACAGUGACUGACAACAACAGUCAUACACUGUAAAAAAAGAUGUGGUUGUGAAAAAUCUAUCAAAUGGAUAACUGUGGAUCCCAAUCAUCGCAUACAAUUAGACACCAAGCAAACAACCUGCAGGCAAGUACAGAUACUGCAGCACUUCUUCCAAAAGAAAUAUUUUCCCUAUAUCCAAAAGUUAAGUGCCAUCAUUUAAGUGCACUACAGUCAUACUAUGCCAAAUCUCAAUUAUUGAUUAGCAUUUCUGUUAAGAACACGUCUCGAAAAAAUAAUUUAAUCAGUUAACUUAUGCGAUCAGAAAAUAUGUUGACAUAUUGUAACUUCCAUUUUCUUAAGCCUUCCACAAGCUGCAUCACGAGUAAUACCAUGCUCGCUCCCGGCGGCAGAUGUGAGUGCAAGCUGGAUGAUGGGAGCUAAAUAAUCAAGAGAUUUACAAAUCACGGGGAGAUGGAUCCUGCACAUUGCCCAAAGAAACCAAUCACUUCAAUCCAGAUUCUAAUCCAUGGAGUGGGCAUUGUGUUAUUCUUACUUCAUGUGUCAUCCACCAAACAUUACCCUAGAGAAAUAAAGAAUCUCUAGAUGAAUUACGGAGGUAGGUACGUUUAUAUAGGGAGCUGCAUUCAUCCCUAUGGCGUGAAAGAAAUAGCCAAAGAACCAAACUCCAGUCCCAACUACAAAGAAUCUUCUUGCAUUAAAAAUUUUCCGAAGAGAACUAGUAAGGCCUAAUUUAGGAUUUCUUUAAAGACCCCCCCAAAAAAAAUCCAACGCCACUUCUGAUCUCUGCUUAUCCCAUUCUGUGACAAGACGGCAGAAACCCCGACAGGACAUGCUUCUCUAGCAGGUGUUUCCGCCACCAUUUCAUAUCAUAUGCAAGUGGAAAUCUAAGGAGCUUUCAGGUUUUUUACGAUUCUAAAGCAUGAAAGCGCCAACAUUUCCAAGAGAUGCAAUCUUAAACAAGGCCACAAUAAUGCUCCAAACUCAAUCUCUCAACACGAAGCCCGUUUCCCCACAACUACACAUUGGAAUCAUCCCAAACAAUAAAUCCAUAAAACAACGUACAUCAACCAAACCCGAUCUACUGUUUCAAUCCCAUUUAUCCACAAUACACCAACCCACAUCAAUUUAGCAUAGAUAACACGAUUAGAAUGAUCCAACAGAAAAAGAAAAGAAGAAGAGAUAUAUCAAAAACCUUUGGAAGUACGGAGGGAUCUAAGGACCGUCUUGUACCCAAGCGUAUACUUCCCACUCUUCAUCACCAGGGCGAGCCUGUUGUUGAUGCUCUCGGUGCUCUUCUUCUACAUUUCGAUCAAAAAGCAACCAUUUUCACACCAAAAAAUCACCAAAAAAUGCUAGAGACGAAAUCAACGGAGCCAUGAUCGAUCCAAAUUUGGUUUUAAUGGUAGAAGAUGAUCGAUUAUUACCGUCUUCUUCACGGGCGCCAUUGGAGAAGCUCCGAGCAGAGGAGGCGGCGGCGAGAGGAGAUAGAAACCCUAGAGAAGUCCCAAAGAGCGUCAGCAAAUGGAAAACCCUCAUAAUAUAUAGAAAAUGGGCAACGAGGCAUAAUUACGAAAUUGCCCCUCUUCGAAUCAGUUGAUCCGGCGCGUUUGGUACUUGUCCAACGGCUACUGAUCAUCACUAGAAAGGUAAAAAUGUAUCAAGGCCCCUCAGAAAUAUACCAUUUCGAAACCAAGCCCAAAAUUUUAUUUUUUAUUUUAGUUCUGUAUUAGAUUUGUCACAGUUUCCAUUAUAUUUUAUAACUCUAAUUUUUCUAAACAUAAAAAAUCUCCUAUAUUACAUGCAUGCUAAAAAGUAUUGUAUAAUUAGUAGCUCGUAGUUGAUUGUAUUUUCUCAGCAAGUAUCUUAUAAAUUGUCAAACUAAUCGGAAAAGCAUUUGGACAUUUGAUCGUGCGGCAUUUCUAAUACUUUUUUUAAAUUCGUCUACACUUAGUGACAUAGUUAUUUUUCUCAUCUUUAAAGAAUUAGUACUUUUUCAGAAGAUUAUAAACUCAUUUAAGUUUAUGGUAUUUAUAAAAAAAAUUCUCGAAGUUUUCAAAAAAUUGAUCAUAUAUGCUCUAGCAAAGUUUCUUAUUUUUCAAUUUACUCUCCUUCACCUAAAAUUCAAAUUCAUCACACAAUCUGUUGAAAGCAAUCUGUGCAACAUCCACCUCGCUUGGAUGCUAUGUCCUCUUUAGAAAUUCAUCGCUUGAAUGCUAUGUCCUCUUUAGAAAUUUCUACAUCAUAGAGUCUCUUUUAGUAUUAGCAAUCAUUUGAUAUUUUGGAGUAGAAAUGGUAAAUUUUUUAUAAUGGGUAAUAUCAUAUGGUAUAGUUACUUGGCCUAUUUGUUGUAGAGAAAGGGACGGAGAAGAAGGAGAGUAGAAAAGAAAAAUGAGAGAAAAAAGGAGAGCAUAGUAAUAAUACACAAUGAUAGUUAUAAAUCGCAUUAUAAAUAAACGGUGUUGAAAAAGUUAAGCUCUAGUAUGGAGAUAAGAAAGGAGAAUCUCGAAAAAGAGACGAAACUAGGAUAUCAUGAUUGUGACUUAAUGAAAUGAUGGUAAUAAGAUAACUCGAAGAACCGAGAGAGAAGAGAUAGAAUGAAAAUAUAACUACAAUAAUGAGGUGAGAGAGAUUGAAUGGCAAAUUGAAAAGAGGAAGGAGAUGGAAUGAACAAGUAAUGAUAUUUAGUCAGGUGGACAUAUCUUCGUCAAAUUAAGAAAGAGUUUCAAUCGAUUAAGAAUUCACAUAUAAUUUAUGUGAAUAAAUAGUGAAACACCGUUACAUGACAAUACCGUAAUUUCACAUUUUCUUUGAAAUUGCUAUUAAAGAAAUAAAAAAUAUAUUUAAUUUUAACUUCUAAAUAUACUUAGGAUAGAAAGAUCUAUAAAAUAUAAACAAAUCAAUUUACUAUUAGGAAUCAAUUUGUUAGGUUUCCCAACCACCUUUCUCUGUAGCUUGGUAUGCAAAGAUUUUUUGUAUAUCUACUAACCGUUCCACUCAUUCGAAAUGCAAACCUCUAUCUCUAUUAUAUGGGAUGAUCUAACUAUUAACAUAAGAGCAAAACUCAAUAGAGAUAAAUUUUACUUUUCAAUAGAGAGUUGAUCUAAAAUAACAUAUAUAUCUAAUAUAUUCUUUUGAAAAUGUGCUCCCAUAAAUUAGCGAACAUACCAACUAAAUUACAAAGAAAAAGUUUCAAACCCUAGCUCAUCAAGAGAAAGUUUUAAACCCUAACUCAUCAACCGUAUUGAAUUUAUGUAAAAUAUAAAACAGUUCUAUAUAUUGCUUGAAGCUUUUAGAGUAAACAGUUGUUUCCAAUGAUAUACAAUUAGGAUGUUGAAAAUCCGCUCAGAGGUAAGAAAGAGUGUUAAAUACAAAAUAACUCUAUUAGCUUUAGCUUUUGUGAAACUCUAUUCAAACAGCCUUCAUCAACAACAAGACGGAUUUUGGUUUAAAAGCUUGCAUAAAUCAUUCAUAUCCAGAAUAUCCACAAUCCAUGCUUCUUACUCUCAAAAACUGAAAAGCUUUAUACAAUGAUUGCGAAAGACUAAAGAAGCAUUGAACACUAGAUUGGAUAAUGGUUCUACACACUGGUGAACACCCAAAAAUUGAUGCAAACACAGCAUAAAUCCAAACUGUUGAUACAUAUGGUGAUUCCAUUUUGCCCAAAAGAUGAAGCAGCCAAAAGGAAGCUAUAGAAUACCUAACAAUAAUAUAAGGAAGUUAAAAAAAGCUAGUAAGUGAACUAGCAAAUUCUAAGGUUAGCGCUUCCUUCGAUUAGAAGACCUUAGCGGUUGCGAUGGACAAACUGACGAAGUGUCUUGGGUCGCGUUUUCCACCGCCUCGUUUUUACAGCUUCUCAGCCUCUUCUUUGACAAAGAAGUAGAAGCUCCUCCUUGGCUUUUGGAUCCUUCCACUGCUUCAGCUUUUACAGAACUUCUCAGUCUCCUCCUUGUAGUGGGAUUAGGAGAAGCCGCCGGAUCUUCUUCGGGUUCGUUCGCAUCAUUUUCUUCUUCUUCGCACUCCAACUGGGGCCAUUCGGCGCCGCAACCCGGACAGGCUCUUGAACCCUAGGUUAGAGUUUUUUAAGAAACAAGUUUGUGUGAUUGAUGAGUGAUAUGAGAGAAAAGAAGGGAAUUACGAUAAGAGUUUUGUCAGUUACAAAAAAUGAUGAAUGAGAAAUGAGAUGGGAAGGAAUGUCCUGUGCUACCUUCCGCCGAGAAAAUUUCUGCUUUAAACAGUAAUCAUGGAUUCGAAUAUUGCAACCUUCAUUUGGACAUGUAGAGGCCUGUUUGACAAGCAAAGGUCAACACGGCAGUAAGGAUAACAGCAGAACACAUUGUAGUUCAAGCAUUUAUAGAACAUGGCACUCGCUUAAACAUGAUUCAAAUUUAAAUAGGCUCCACAAAGAAAAUGGAUCCAACAUCAAACCGUCUAGAUAUCGGCUAGUAAUUCCGCAGAACAGCAAAUUUAUUUCAUAAAAGUUAUCCACCUCUGUGUCACAGGUUGGCUCGCUCAAUAGAGCAACUCUCCAAAAUUCCCCUACACAUUCCAAUAAUUUUAGACAGGAGGAAGAUGUUUGUUCUUAUAACUUUUUAAGGAAGAUAGCACCACAUCAACAAUGGAGAUUUCGAAAUUUUUUAUUUCCCCUCCAUUAAAAUAAGUGUAUGAUUUAUAUAUAACCAUCCUUGUAAUAAUUGAUCGAGGUCAUAGCUGGUCAAUUUCUACCUACGAACCCCAGAAUUCAAGCUAUGAAGCAAUGUCCUCAUAAAUUCCAAAUUUCCACCUUUUAGUGUAAAAAAUCAGCGAAUGCAGCAAGUAGGUAGCUGCCUAGGGGGAAAAAAAAAAAUCAAGAACACAGACAUGAUCCAUAUUUUACUUGUGACUACUAGACUUGUUCCGACCAACCCCACGUUUUAACACAAGUAUCAACUUUUGGAACCAAGUGUGGGAAGGAAAAAGAUAAAUACUGAUUUGGCCUUUAAAAUCAGAAAGUGAGGAACUAAAUAAUAAUAUAAACAUGGUUUUUAAGCGCCACCUGUUGUUCAGGAGCCGGGGUAAAGAGAAUAACCAAUUCAUAGAAUGGCAAUUAACGACGGAGAGAGUAUAGAUACCUUAACACCUGCUUCAUUGCAGACAUUGCAAGAAGGGACAUCAUUGCUGCGGAACCAACUUCGAAGAUCAAGGAAAGAUCUUACGCCAAGACCAAUUUUCCCACUAGAGGUGUACGAUAGCCAUCGGUCUUGUAUGAGAUCAUUGAGAGUUUUCUCCUUUUGAGACAUUGUAAAGUUCCUAAAUGCAGGAGGAAUGCGAGAUUGACUAUCCUGUGAACUCUGCCCAGCAGGAACCUGAAAGUUUGAAACCAGAUCCAUUGAAUUCAAGGAGAAUGGAACAAAAAUACUCCAACACAAAAUGAACUAACAGAAAGAACUAUAUAACAAGCAAUUAGGAUAAGCUACAAAGUGAUUUGUUGUCAACAUGAAACUAGAUAACUCCUGUAGGACCAUACUAUAACAAGAAAAAGCUAGAGGGUUUAACAUGUAAAUUGUGAGAAAGGCUUUAGUGGCAAGUUAAACAGCUGCCGAUAAACCAAAUAGAAAAAGAAAAAUAGUAGAAAACCAUAUGGUGUGCUUAAGUGGUACGUCACAAGGAUGACAAAACAAAUUGUCAAUAUGGAACUUGCAGACUUUGAAGUGUCUUAGAUUACAAAUGUUUCCUUUCGUUUGAGGAUUAGCAUUCAGCUGAGAUAUCAGUUGCAUAUUACCAAGACAAGCUUUCGUUCCCAUGCAAAUAUCGAAAUCACCUCAAAGAUCUUUUCCCUGAAUAUAAGGUUGUGACUUUCUUCCUAAUUCUAGUGUGAUCGAACAGCUUGUCAAUGAUAAAUCAUAGCCCAUAGAUGGUCACCAUAGAAGAUUAGCAGCUAAACCCAUAGUCCUGUAUAAAAAGAUACAAGCUAUCCUUUGUAAACAAAUUUCCUACCAGCUCUCAACCUUAUGUCAAUGCAUCAAAGUUUGAUAUUCUUAAUAGGAUUCAACAACUUUUCACUCAAUCAUUGCAGGGUUUGGCAUGGAUUGCACAAUGCUGUGUGUAAUGCCACCAGGCAUCCACAGAGGAUGCACAGUCCAAAUCUACAUCUUCCACCUGCAAAACUUUCUUAGUGGAUUUGAUCUUUUGUAGGAUUUGACUCAAAGAUGAGAGCUCAAAGAAAGGUGCUUAAAGAAGAGAAGGAGGGGGGGGGNGGGCGGGGGCGGUUUCUCCUAGUCGAAUUGGUAACCAGACAAUUAUUAUCAUACCAUUUUUAGUUAUCCCUCCCUUGCGUUGUUAUGUAUACUGAACCAUAUUGAAUCCAACUCUAUCUAAACAGGACCUUCGAACACCCUUAUAAGUCUCUGCAUUUUGGGUAUCCCGACCUUUUAUCUCUCACUAUAUUGCACUCCUAACUAUUUUCACUAUACAAUAAUAAUCAGAUGCAGUAGGGAACAACACCAGAUCCAAAGCCAUAACAAAGUGAGUAGAAGAAACUACUUGGCCAUUACCUAUAUCAAACUGACCUAGACACCAGAUAUUCGUUCCAUUUUUGGUAUACACAUAUGUUAUGUAUAUCACUGGAACAAUUGCAGAAAAGGUAAAGUCUGCAAAGAAACUGCACCAACAGGAAUAAGGAAAUAAAUUCAGCAAAUCUAAACCUCAAUCCGCCUUACUUGUCAAAUACUUUGUAAAAAAAAAGCAAAAAAGGGAGGAAAAAAAAAGCACCCAAAAUUGCAGAGCUUAGUAGGUAUACAGAAAAAGUAAAAUUAUUUAUAGGUAAGGUAUAGGAAAGCAUCUUUCUAGAAGAGGAACUUCAAUCACUAACCUGAUUCUCAAGCCGGAUGUUAAGAGCCUCAAUAUUGGUUACGCAGCCCUCAGUUCCAGCAUCCUGAAUUAUCGCUUCUAUCUGAAACAAAUAAUGGGUAUUUCGAGAUAUUAGAAACACUGGUUUCCUAAUGAUUAAAGUCAAAUAUUAAGCAGAGAUUCAAGUGCAAUCAUUUGAAGCGAUAGUCAAAAGACAACUGAAACAUACAAGCAUACAAAAUGAAAGUAUUAAUCAAGUCAUUUCAGGAGAAGCCAUGAGACAUAAUCAGGUACUGUUAACAUUAUGCUAGCAAAUAUUCAGGUUUCUUUACUAAUUAUUUGAUUAAAAGAGGCCAUUAGUGAAGUUAACGUUUUUUUUUCUUUUCUUUUGGGUUGAAAUAAAUAGGAUAAAAACACAGGCUCGCCGAUAAAGCUGUAAACAACAAUAGAUAAACCUUCGGAAAAUAUUGAUUAUGAAAAAAUCCACCAAAUAAUUCAUAUAUAUGUUACCGAACAAAAGCUAAUACAUAAAAUGGAGUACGUAAUGUACCACAAGGCAAGGAAUUCAGGUUUAAAUACAAGCAUAAAGUAAUUUUUGAGCCCUAAACUCAGGUAACAAACAAUGAUAAUUUUAACAUUUAAAAUUUUAGACAAGCAAGUGAAAAAGAAGCAUAGAGAGAGGAGAGGAAGUUAAAAGGUGAAAGUAAACAAUCUACGAGUGAUCUCUGCUGGUACCUGGAUAGCUUUGGAUCAGACAAAACAUCCUUCAUGGUAUAAGCAGUGUUCUCGUUUUACAAAUAUUAAGUGGUAAUCAACAACACAAAUGAAAUCACUAUGGUGGUAGUCAAGAGAAAGAACUGAUCAGAGGUCCUCUACCAUGUCAAACAAUAUACGCUCUCCAACAAGAUGGGCCAAAAGCCUCUUUUUCCUAAUUCUUUUUCAAGUCAAAGAGUUUAGGUUUCUUUGUAAGAUUUACGUCUUUGUUAGAUUUUGGUCUAUGAAAAAUGCAUUUGAAUAAUUAAAUUGGAUAACAUAAAGGUUCAUUUUAUGAAAUUUUGCUUUUCAUAAUUUUACUGUUUACUUCACUACAUUCCAUAGGUGUAAAGAGAAACAGACAAAUUCCUGAAACUGUGUAUCCAUUUUGUAUCCAAUAUAGUUAUGGCUCAAGCAUUUGCACAAGAGAAUACGGUUAAAAUGAGAAUUAAAUUUGAGACAUAUUUCUUUGUUGAUCACUAAAUCUAAAUCUCACUAAAUGUGGAAAAAUUCACAUGGAAUCCUUCUCAUAUGGACGGCACAAAUCCCAAGGAGAAAGCAUAUAGUUAGACUGGCAUUCCCAUCUCUCCAUUUGUACAAUUCUAACCUAUAUAAACCCUGAAAUAUUGGCCAAGAGGGUUCUGGAACCAAUCAGGAAACAGAAGUCAUAUAUUGAUUCUUGAGGAAUGAAUCACACUUUUCACCGCAUAGUUUCUUAUAGAAUAAACAACAAAGCAACAAAACAUGGUCAAGUUGUAUCUAUGAAUCUUUCACAAUUGUACUUUUGAAAAUCUCUUAGAGGGAGCUGCCAACAACAAGAAAAAGGUGAUUCUACACCAACAAAGUUCAUUCAAUAAAGACUAGCAAGCAUAAAAUCAUGCCCAUUUUGCAGCAACAGCUGUAGAUUACUACUAAAAUUCCAAGCAAACAAUGGCAUACCACACCCUUGUAGAAUGCAAUCUGCGGAACUGAAUACUUCGUCCCGAGCUUUGACUGCUCAUCAGCAACGUUAUUUAUCACCCCAUAGUAAACCUUCCCAUCAUACUGGUUUCUGCAUGCUCGCAACUCGAAUUGCACGUAAGCCAGCUCCUUAUUAAUUUUGAGAAGAACAUCGUUGAAUAGCUGCUUAUUAUUGACUGCAGCAUAUGAUGUGAGCAUCAGAGGUACCAAAGCAAAUCACCAUAUAUGUAUAUGCGAUUGUUUUUUCUUUUGAUAUUUUAAACUUAUAGAUGCUCAAUUAACUGUUGGAGACUUGAUUGAUCGUCCAUCAUGUGCUACCAACACCUCUAGACGAAAAUAGAGAAAACCGAAUGGUAAAAGAAAUAGAUGCAAAAAAAAUAGACCAAUAUUUACGUCGUUCGGCAACUGCCCACAUUCACGAGGAGAGUGAGAGAGAUAUUCCACUAUAUGAAAAAACAAAAGUACAAGUUUACACCUUAUGUUUUUUCCAAACCAUAAGCCAAGAGUCUUAUGGUGAAAUUCACCCUUCUCUUGCUCCAACAAAAACUCUUAAAGAAAUAACCGAGAAGAGCUUUUCAAAAGACUAAAUUAGAGAAGUAUAAAGUUUUUGACCAAAAUCCUUUAUGUUGUUGCUUUGGAUAGCCAAACCACUUAAGUAAUUGGUAGAGCACCUCCACGCUGCUGCUGAUCUCAAACUUGAUGCCGCACGCAAGCCACUGAACACUUCUCUUUUCUACCAAACACUCUUAUGUCUGUUCGUCCGGGCUAACAUCACCUUAAUUUAUCAGCCUCUACUAAUUAGCUUAGUCAUGAUGUAAGUUACAUUAUCCUUUACAUUAUCCUUUGCAGAAACCUUCAUAAGCUGAAUUUCUCCAUCAUUCUUCUCAAUGAGCUCCCGUAAUUUGUAAUACAUGGCGUCUAUGUGUUUUGUCCUCAAAUGGUAAACCGAAUUUUUUUGUGAGACAUAUAACAUUGACUAUCACAACAGAUGAUUACCUCAUCCUGUAUGAUCCCGAGUUUCUAACCAAAGCUCUAAGCUAAACUGCUUGCUUAGCCGCUUCAAUCGUCGCCAUAUACUCCGCUUCUACAGUUGACAAGGCUACAAUGUAUUUUAACGUAGAUUUCCAACUGAUUGGUUCGUCGCCAGCAAAAAUUUGUAAACUGUAAUAGACUUACACUUAUUCAAAUCACUAGUAUUCAAAAUCUACAAACUCCUUCAUUUUACCGUUACCGGAAUCUUUCGAGUAGAGAAUACCCAUAUCCACUAUGCCCUUCAGGUACCGUAGAAUUCACUUCACAGCCUCCUAUUCUUGUUUUUCUAGAUUUGACAUAUAUCGACUAACAACACUAAAUGCAUAAGAAAUAUGAAACCUAAUACAAAUCAUAGCAUACAUCAAGCAACCGACUGCACUAGCAUACAAUAACCUUUGACCUAGAAUUAAUCUCCUUAUCCGUCUUAGGACACAUCUUCUUAGAAAGUUUGAAGUGUUGGGCCGACAUAUUAAAUUGUUUUAGAAUAGCCUGUAUAUAUGUCUUUUGUGAUAGCCACAGCUUAUCCUGUAUGCGGUGUCGCCUGAUCUCCAUAUUUAGAAUUUUUCUAGCACUUCCUAGAUCCUUCAUAUCAAAUUCCCAACACAACUAAUCAUCACUACACUUCUUCUGAAUUCUUAGCCCGGUAUCAGCAUAUCAUCUACGCGUAAGUAGAAUAAACGAACCAUCUUCAAGCCUUCGAUAAUAAACACAAGUGUCGUAUAAACUAAUGCCAUAACCAUGCUCGAUCAUAAAUCCGUCAAACCAUCAGUACCAUUGCCUCGGUGCCUGCUUUAAUCUGUAGAGGGAUCUUUGCCUUAGUGCAUGCUUUAACCAGUAGAGUGAUCUUUGCCUCGGUGCUUGCUUUAACCCGUAGAGAAAUCUUUUCAAUUUGCACACCAGACUCUCCAUCGUCGGCUGAAUAAAGCCUUAAAACUACUCUAUGUAAAUUUUGUCUACUAGAGCCCCAUGAAGAAACGUGGUCCAAAAGUCAAGUUGCUGAAGCUCCAUAUCAAACAUAGCCAACAUAGCUAGAAGUAUCCUAAUCGACGCGUGCUUCACCACUGGCGGAGACACCUCCUUGAAGUCGACUCCCUUUAUCUGCGCAUAGCCCUUGGCUACUAACCACGCCUUAAUUUUUUAAGGUUUAGAAAAGUUCGUUAUGAUAGUUUGUUUGAGCUUUUCUCUGAAGAAGAGAAAUAAGAUGAAAAAGAGUGGUAAAAUAUAAAAGAAGUCAAGAUAGAGAAUAUUGAGUGGUGACUUCUUUUGUUUGGUUCACGUGCACUCGGUUCAUAGAGUUUAUAAACGAAUUGAUUCCUAUUCCUAUUGGUGGAUAUUGUAGCGAUACAGUGAGUCACGUUGAGUUCCGAGUAGGACUUCAAAUCAUACUUGACUUUGACCAGGCCCUACUACAUUAUAUAUAUCUGUAUGUGGUACCGGCCAGAGCUAAUUAGUAGAGGCUAAUAAAUUAAGGUGAUGUUUUUUUUUUUUGAGAGAUAGGUAGCAUGCUACCUGCUUCGUUUAUUUCAUUUAGAAAUAAACUUAGCUGAAAAUGUGAAUCAACUAGGAUUCAAAUUUGGGUCUCGGAUACCAACCACCAAGCCCUUUGCCACUUGCUCUAGGGACGGUCGGUAAAUUAAGGUGAUGUUAGCCCGGUCCUGAGAGUAUACAACAGCAAAGAGGAGUGGUGUUCGGCAGCUUGCAUGCGAUGUCAAGUGAGGUCGGCAGUAACGCAAAGGUUCUCGACUAAUUGCUUGAGCGGUUUGGCUUUACCGAAGCAACAAUACAAAGAAUUAUGGUAAAAAAUUUGAUGCUUCUCUAAUUUAGUCUUCUUUAAUUAAGGUUUCUCGAAAAACUCUUUCUGGUUAUUUUUUUGAAGUUUUUUGUUGGAAAGAGAGAAGGAUGGGUUUUAGAAUAAGGCUCUUGGUUUUUUGUUUGGAGAAGACAUAAGGUGCAAGCUUGUAUUUUUAUUUCCUCAUAUAGUGGAACACAUUCCUCUCACUCUCUCCAUGCUGAAUCACAUAAACAUCGGUCUGUUUUUUGCAUUUAUUUCUUUUACGAUUCAUUUUUCUCUAUUUUCAUGCAUCUGUGUUGGUAGCGCAUUACGAACGAUCAAUCUAAGUCCCCACCAUUAACCUUAUCUUUAUCUAUAGGAUCCACAACUAUAAAUUCAUGUCUAAUGAUUAGAACUUGGCUUAUAGAAGGAAUAAAUUCAACAUAAUCUUGCCACUAGCAGAAUCUUACGUUCAUAGUAUCUGCAACUGCAGAAGCUUAAAUGCAUAUGAUUUGCCUAAUCUAACAUUAGAAACCAUACACCUCUGCAUAAAUCAACAAAAUUACCUGGGUUUUUUCCGCUGAUGCCCAUGAACAUCUCAUGGAACUCCUCCUCCAUUAACGGCCCACGGCUCAACAAGGCUUGUAUAAGGGUAUGGUGCCUCCAAGUUAAAGGCGCCAUUUUCACCUCCCAGGAGAUCUACCAAAACCCUAAACUUCCAUUGAGCUCCAAGGGGGAACUCUUUGAAACCCUAAUUUUUACCUGAAUAAAGGAUCGGAAACGAACCCUAAGGUCGGAAGCGAAAAACCCUCGAUCGGCUUCGGAGAGAGCGCGCGCGCUUCUCCUCUUUUGUGGCGGGAGAAGCAGAAUCCGAGCUCGAGAAUCGAAGCGAGGGUUUUUGUAUCGGCGGGGUUUUAUCUUUUUAUCGGAUCCAAUUUGGGUUCGCACUCGUAAUUCGAAACGGACUUGGUAAGGUGCGGUGAGUCGGAUUCGUCUGGACCCGGUUAACGUGAAUGGAUCGGAUUAUUAAAUUUUUAACUAUUGACAUUAACUCAAGUUUUUAAGAGGGAUUUUUUUCACAAAAUAAUUUUCUAAAAUAUUAAUAUUUGCAAAAUAUUUUUUUCAAAAUUUUAUUUCGAAAACUAACUCUUCUUUCUCCACGUGAGCGUCACGCUGGGAUUUCUUUCACCUCCUUCAAUAAGGCAGCGAACAAUUCACUAUCUUCAUAAUAUAAUUAUUGAAGAUGAUUAAUAAUUCACUACCUUAGUGAAGGCGGUGACUCCACCUUGAUAAAUUUUCUAAGUUCUUGUAAUAUAUAAAGUGGAGGAGGUAAACCAUUUACCGUCUUUGUAAUAUAUUAAGUGAAGACGGUGAAUGGCUCACCGCCUUUAGUGCCCUAUAGGGGUGUAAUGUGGGCCGUGCCGGGCCGGCACGGCCCCCGGACCGAACCGGGCUGGAAGAUGGCGCGGCCCGCCCGUGCUAAAUCCGGCCGGGCCCGUGCGGGCCGCGAACCCCUGACCAUCCAGCCCAGCAGCCCCUGCCGGAAGGCACGGGCCUGUGCCGGCCGGGCCGUGCCUGCCUGGCCGUCGCGGCCGGCUCUUUUUUUUAUUUUUUAAUGUAAUCAUAUAAUUUUAAAAAAUAUGAACAAUAAAUUACAUUAUAUAAAACGAUAUUUGAUUAAAAAAAUUUAAAAUUUUUAAAAUACUUACAAAAAAAUAAUAUUUAAAUUUAUUUAAUAUAUGUUUGUAUUCUUUUUUUGAAAAAAAAUAAAGUUGGAAGGUUUUGGUCGCAAUGACCAAAAUUGGCUUUGUCUCAUGAUCAAUAUUACUCCUCCAAGGUCUGCCUAGGCAACCUUGGAGGACUAUUCCUUGGAGGAGGGCCAAGCCCUCCACCGAGGAGCAAACCCCAGGCCCGAAGGCAACUUUGCCUUGGGCCUGGGUUCCGGCCGCUGCUGGCCCGGCUGGCACGCCCAAGCGGCCGUGCCGUGCCUGGGCCAUGGCCCUCUCUGGCUCCUCGGCCCGGCACGGCCCAGGCCCGUUUCGGGCCGUGCCGUGCCGGGCCGUCGGGCUCCAAAUGUGAGGCCCAGCACGGCCCGAGGUGCCUGCCGGGCCCGGCCCGGCCCGGGUGCUACAGUGGCCGUGCCGGGCCACGGCCCGGCCCGCAGCCGUGCCGGGCCGGGCGGCCCACGUGCCGCCCGGCCCGUUUUACACCCCUAGUGCCCUACAACUUCAUUCUGAUUUUCUCUCGAUUUUCUCUAAGUCCUCGAGGCUGGUUUUGAAGCACAGAUAAGACGCUGGACAAUUCACUAUUUUUAUAAAGGCAGUGAACGGCUCACCGUCUUUAUGAAGACGGUGAGCCGUUCACCGUCUUCAUUACAAAUCGAUAACAACAAUUUGUACAAGUUUGGAGUAUUUUUUUUUUUUUGAGAGAGAUAGGUACCACGCUACCCGCUUCGUUUAUUUCAUUUAGAAAUAAACUUAGCUAGAAAUGUGAAUCAACUGGAAUUCGAACUUGGGUCUCGAGUACCAACCACCAAGCCCUUUGCCACUUGCUCUAGGGACGGUCAGUUGGAGCAAAAAAUUUUACGAGAACAAAAACUUUAACAACAAAAACAACCAAACAAGAAGAACAACAAGAUAUAUUAGAAAAUUUCGAAAGGGUGUAGCGUCGCACUAAAUGCGGUGAAUGGUUUACUGCCUGUUGAUGCCAAAAUUAAAAUUAACAUGCCGACCUAGCCCACGUAUGAGCUGAAGAAAUAAGGACACGUGGUACACUAGGAGUCGGCAAUAAGGCGCUUGAAGGUCAAAAGCGUUUAGACGGGAACGGUUGAGAAGUGGGGCGUAACUUCCAUGUGAAGUGGGGCAUAACUUUCAUGUGAAGUGGGACGUAACUUCCAUGAGAAAUGGGGCAUAACUUCCACGAUCAUGGUUACAACCACUUCCCCAACCAACCAAAAAUGUGGGCUGAGAAGACAUCACUAUAAAUAGUAAAGACAUCACUAUAAAUAGUAACUUCAAAGCCUGUAAUAAAGGUCUUUUCCCCUGAGAACAAAAGACCACCCUUAUUUCCUCUGCAUUUUAUCGCUUUUCUAUGAGUAGUCUAAAUGUAAUCUUUUUCUUUUCCGCAUUUACUGCUUUCCUAGGAGUAAUUCGCUAAGUAGAACCCUGAAGUCUGUUUGCCUCACGGGUAUCACUCCGUUGUAGACUAUAUUUGCAAAGUCUGUCUGCACCAUGGGCAUCACUCUAUUGUAAACUAUAUUUGCAGAGUCUAUAUGCCCUUUGGACACACUCUGUUUAAUAUAUAUAUAUAUAUAUAUAUAUAUAUAUAUAUAUAUAGCUUCGCUCUUUUAGCCGACCAGUUACUGUGUACUUCUUCUAUUCGGCUCUUCUGCCGACAUUGAUCCCUGCACAGUUCAUACAUUCGGCUUAUCCAGCCGAACCGAUUUUACGGUAAAGGUUUUCGAACCCGGUUGAUCCGAUCCCUCAUCAGCCGAAUCGCUUGAUCUGUCGAAGGGCGCACACUUCGAGGGUCAUCGUUCGCAGUCGUUCCACACCCCGACGCGCUCCCCGAGGAAGGUAUUUGACCGGGUCAAAGGUCGGAAAAUUCGGCUACCAACAAUUUUUUGGCACGCCCGGUGGGACAACAUUUUUAGGUAAAUUUAUAUUUUAUAUAAAUUAUGGCUGAUGAUAAUGCCAUGAAUUUGCGCAAUAGGGUUGUUCCUAGAAAUUCUGAGAGUGAUCAACCUAGUGAUUCAAACAAUGCUGGCGAAUGUCAAGCAGUUUUGCCAGUUGAAGGAGAAACUAGUGGACAGUCGGCUCAUCAAGAGCCGAGUCUAACUCAGGCGCUCGGCCAGAUGAGCCAAGUCCUGCAAACUUUAGAUUAAAAUAUCCAUCAAAGUACCGCUCGAUUAGACGCGGUGCUGGCUGCCAUCACGGCUUAUAAUAAAAAUAUUGCACGAAUGGGGCAAUUAUUGACUCGAAAUGAACAACCAAUGACAGGCUUACAAGGGUCUAUGAUGACACCGGUGUUGCAAAAUCCUGCAACACCGGUAAAUGGACAGCCCCAAUACCAUGGGGCACCAUUCCAAGCGGCUUACAGGCCAGCCGUCGUCAAUACCGGUCAACAGCUGGAAAUUGCAUGGGGAUUGCCACUACCCCCGCAGAUGACAACAUACUAGCCCCAAAAUAUAGGGGCUAGAGCUGGGGGGCAGGUUCCAAAUAUUCAAGAAGCAAAUCCCAUAGUACAAAACUUCGGACCAUUACAAGGACCGAAUGUAGCACAAGCACAAGUUCCUUUGCAGGAAAACAAUGAUGAAAUAUAUGCGCAAAUCGAAGAAGCCAUCCGAAAUACUGUUGAAAUAGGUGCAAGGCCGGCAAUGCGGCCUAUGUUUAGAUCACCUUAUCCUACAAAUAUAGACAUAGAGCAUCCAUACCCGGCAAACUAGAAAAUACCGAAGUUUGAUAAAUUUUUUGGGGAUGAGACCGAAAACACGGUUGAACAUGUGACGCGGUUCACGGCACAGUGCAGGGAAGCCGCGACAGAUCCAUUUUUAAAAUUAAGAUUGUUUAACACGUCGUUAACUAAAACGGCGUUUACUUGGUAUACAAGUUUAUCAACCAAUUCCGUCCAAGAUUGGGACAAAUUGGAAAGAAAAUUUCAUGAGCGAUUCUAUAGGUCGGAGCCACAAUUAUCGGUUGUCGACUUGGCUUUACAACGACAAAUGUCAGAUGAAACGGUUGAAGAGUAUUUGAACCGUUUCAAAAUAGCCAAAACCCGGUGCUUUAUGAGAAUGCUGGAAUCAGAGUUCGCCAAAAUUGCGUUAAAUAGUCUGCAUUUUAAGAUAAAAGACUAUUUUGAAGAUAAGUAUUUUUCUAACCUAUUUGAUCUAGGUAUUCGAGUUGCCCAAUAUGAGCAAUUUCGGAAGGAAAGUGAGGACAAUCGGCUGCAAUGGAGUCGAUAUAAAAAGCAAAGCAAAGGCAAAGAGAACUUCUUGAUAGAAGAACAGUCGGUUCAAAAAGAGCCGAGCCAAUCAAGUGAAAGUGAAGAAUCGGCUGAUGAAGCCAAGGUAUAUGCGGCUGGUAAAGAGCCAAUUUCUUCAAGAAGAAAUCUUGAUAGAAGAACAUUCGGUUCAAAAAGAGCCGAACCAAUCAAGUAAAGUAAAGAAUCGGCUGAUGAAGCUGAGGUAUAUACGGCUGGGACGAUAAAGAGCCGUUUUCUUAAAGCCGACCAGGACCAGCAAAACCAAAGCUUGGGUCUCAGCUGUGUCAUUUGAGCAGUCAAUUUGGCACCAAUAGUUAUCCGAAUGUUCAUUCGAAAGGCUAUUGGGGUGGCAUUGUUGAUGCCAAUAUUGAAAUUAACAUGCCGACCUAGCUCACGUAUGAGCCGAAGAAAUAAGGAUACGUGGUACACCAGGAGUCGGCAAUAAGGCGCCUGAAGGCCAAGAGUGUUUAGGCGGGAACGGUUGAGAAGUGGGGCGUAACUUCCAUGUGAAGUGGGGCAUAACUUCCAUGUGAAGUGGGACGUAACUUUCAUGAGAAGUGGGGCAUAACUUCCACGAUCAUGGUUACAACCACUCCCCCAACCAACCAAAAAUGUGGGCUGAGAAGAUAUCACUAUAAAUAGUAACUUCAAAGCCUGUAAUAAAGGUCUUUUUCCCUGGGAAUAAAAGACCACCCUUAUUUCCUCUGUAUUUUAUCGCUUUUCUAGGAGUAGUCUAAAUAUAAUCUUUUUCUUUUCCGCAUUUACUGCUUUUCUAGGAGUAGUUCACUAAGUAGAACCCUGGAGUCUGUCUGCCCCACGGGCAUCACUCCGUUGUAGACUAUAUUUGCAGAGUCUGUCUGCACUAUAGGCAUCACUCUGUUGUAAACUAUAUUUGCAGAGUCUGUAUGCCCUUUGGGCACACUCUAUUUAAUUAAUAUAUAAAUAUAUAUAUACAUAUACAUAUAUGUAUAUAUAUACAUAUAUGUAUAUCAAUAGUAUAUUAUGCUAUAUCAUGUAAACUGUAUAACAAUAUAAUAUCUAUAAUAUAUAUAAUUAAUAUAAUAAUAUAGAAUACGCUAAUAUAACUAUUAAUAGGGCACUAAGUCAUUGGCUUGCUAACCAAGUUUUGGCCAUUGAUAAGAGAUGUAUGGUUAAGAGAUAUGGGCCCCUAGGUGAUGGGUGGUUGGGUUGAAUCUAUGAUCUAAACGAGUGAAAAUAGUCUCAAAUAGUAAGCCACGGUGGAAAACUGUAGCACCAAGUGUUUCGUAGCUAUUAAAUCAGCAUGCGUUGGGAGUAGAUGGACUCUAUAUAUACUAUCUAUUAAUAUAUAAUUAUAUACAUCUUAUAUAUAUGUAUAUAUAAUGAUCUAAUGUAUAUAUAUAUUAUAUUAGAUAAUAUAUAUAUACAUCUAUGAAUAUUGUAUAAUGUAACAUAUAUAGUUAUAAACAUGUAUAUGUAUACAUAUAGUAUAUAGUUAUACACAUUAUAUGUAUAUCUAAUAUACCAUAUAAUAUAUAUAUUACUAUAUAUACAUAUAUACAUAUAUGGUUUAUAUUGUAUAAUAUACUAGAUUAACUAUUAAAUAUAUACAAUAUACAUAUAUGUAUAUAUAUAAUAUAUAAACAUAUACUGUAUAUAUAUACCAUAUAUACAAUAUAUAUUAUUAAUUAAUACCAUAUAACUAUAUAUAUAUAUUGUCUAUAUAUACUACAUAGAUGUAAUAUAUGUAUAUAUAUAGAAUUGUAAUAUAGGACAGAUGUAUAUAGUAUAUAGUAUAUAUAUAAUACACUAUAAUAUUAUAUAUGUUAUGUAUAUAACAUCAUAUAUAUAUUUAUUGUUAUAUAUACAAUAUAUAUACAUCUAUAUAUAUACAGAUGUAUAAGAUAUGUAUUUUUUAAUUUAAUAGAUAUAUAUAUGUAAUGUUAUAUAUAAAUGUAUAUAUAUUAUUAUGUCUAAUAUAUAUAAUUGUAUAUACAUUAACACUAUAUUAUCUAUGUAUAUUUAUCAUAUAUAUAUAUAUAUAUAUGUACAGAUGUAUUAUUAUAUUAUGUAUUAAUAUAUCACAUAGAUAUAUAUACUUAUGUAUGUAUAUAUUCAACAGACUGUCAUAAUUAUAUGAUGGUAUGUAUACAGUACACACAUUAAUAUUAUGAUAAUAGCACUGCCAUACAUUAUAUAAUACUAUUAUAUGCCUGCUAUGUAUGUACUAUAAUACACAUUUAUAUAACUAUAUUUAUAUCUAAUGUCUACAAAUAUAUAUUAUAUCUAUGUAAUUAAUAACAGACAUACAUAAUAUAUAUAUAUAUCCUGUAUUAUACUACCAUACAUAUAUAUAUAUAUAUAUAUACAUAUAUACAUAUAUGUAUAUAUAUAUACAUAUAUAUAUAUACAUAUAUAUACAUAUAUAUAUAUACAUAUAUAUACAUAUAGGCAUUCGGCUUCUUCAGCCGAUCAGUUACUGUGUACUUCUUCUAUUCGGCUCUUCUGCCAACAUUGAUCCCUGCACAGUUCAUACAUUCAGCUCAUCCAGCCGAACCGAUUCUACGAUAAAGAUUUUCGAAUCCGGCUGAUCCGAUCCCUUAUCAGCAGAAUCACUUGAUCUGUCGAAGGGCGCACACUUCGAGGGUCAUCGUUCGCAGCCGUUCCUCACCCUAACGCGCUCCCCGAGGAAGAUAUUUGACCGGGUCAAGGGUCGGAAAAUUUGGCUACCAACACUGCCUUAGUGAAUGUGGUGAAGUAUUUACCGGCUUCAUUGGACUUUACUAGAUAUAUUAGAAAGAUGGUGAAGGCGAUGAACGAUUCAUCAUCUUCACAAGAAUUAUUCUACUUGGCGCCUACGUGGCGAAAGGAUGGUUAAUUAGUUUUACAAAUAUAAAUUUUAGAGAGUUAUUUUGCAAAUUUUAAAUUUUAAGAGGAUUAUUUUAUAAAAAAAUCCUUUUAAGGGCGUGUAUGGUUAACGGUUUUCUUUUUUAAAAAAAGAUUGGCAAUAAAAAGUUGGAAUUAUAAAAUUUUAUAUUUAUUUUUAUCACAAAAUUUAAUAUAACAGGAAUUAAAAAUUUCUGUAUAAUUUUAUAAUCUCUUGAAACAUGAGAUUCAAACAUCCAACUCCUCCUCCCUAGGAGAAUUCUUUUCCUAAAAAAUUUGAGUUAAAAGGAAUAAAAUAUUCUUGUUCACAUUUUAUAUCCAUUUCAAUUUUUAAAUUAAGUACGGAAAUUAAAUAAAAUUAUGAAUCUCCUAAAUUUAGGAAUAUUUAAAUAGAUUUUAUCCUCAAAUCUUUAUGAUUUUUAUAUGAUUAAUUUAGUGUAACAUGACAUAUACAUAUACUAUGAGUUUCUAUAAAAAAUAAAGUAUUGUAAUAAUUGUAUUAAUAUAACUGAAUAAAUUAGUGUCUGAGUUAAAUGUAGAAAUAACUAUUUCCGAUAUGUGCCAUGCAAAAAUAUUUUUACAAAAUAGAAAUUUUAUCAUGAGAAUAAAUUUUAAAAAGUUAAUUGUCAGCUAAAAUUUUAAUUUAUGUGAACUAAACGGCCCAAAAGUUUUUUUUUGUCCCCGAGAAAAAAGUCCAUACAUAAAUUUACUAGAGCUUAAUCCGUUAUGAAAUAGUUGUAAAGGGCUCUGUGGUUGAUACCCGAGGUUCCAAGUGUGAAUCCUAAUUGAUUCCCAUUUCUAUCUAAACUAGUGUAGAGACCCACGCGAUGCAGCGGGUAGAUAAUAAAAAUAAAUUUUUAAUAUUUUAAUAAAUUUUAUAUUUGCAGCUUAUAGGAAGCUAUAUCAUGUUAAGCACAGUCAAUUUGCAUGACUAAAUUCAGUUGUUAAAAAAAUAAAAUAAUAGCUAGAAGUAUAUGAAAUACAUAAAUAAUAACUUAACGUAUCUGGCUUAAGAAAAUUUUGGUUGGCAUUUCAGGCUCCAAUCUCCGCAUCAUACUUUUUAAUCUACGAAAGAAAUUUUGCCCACAACAGUGUCUACUUAAAAAAAUGAUCAUAAUAUAAAAAUAAAACAAAAAACAUCAAUCUUAAAAAAAUUAAUAUUUUUUUGGAGCACUUCUCUUACUCAUCCAAAUCUCAUACAUCUUCUUAAUCUUCAGCUGGUAGUUGCUCCGCGUGCCGAGUCAUUUCUGGAUUUCUAUUGUAACCUAUGAACAAACACCUUAUUUGCAUCACCAAACUGCGAUAUUUAAACCGAUACAGCCUUGCCAUCACAUCAACCUUAGAAAUCCUUAUUCUUAAACAAUUUGAUUUAUCAAGAAGUUCCUGCGAUUCUUGAGAAGCGAGCUCCCGCGCAACGUUGCCGCCAAGAGAAGGCUAGGACGACGCUCCCCUUGGCCUAGUUGCGGGCGCGUGCGAGCCGUACGAGGAGGCAGCCGAGGCGGCGGCGGUUCACGGCGAGCGACGGCUCCGGUGCAGACCAGCCCAGCGAGCACUUAUAUGGGCCGCGGCUGGACUUUACAGGACGAUAUUUUUUGAAGAAGACAACGUUCUUCGCAUGUUCUUCUUAUUUAUCAUCCUCAUAAUUUUUGUUAACACAAUGAGAUAGAGAGAAGGAGAUGAGUGUGGGGUGAGAGAUUAGAUGAUAAUGUUUCUUUUUGCAUGAAAAAUAACAUGUCAUGCAAGAAAGAGGGGGUGAGGGGAUUAAUGGUGGAGGGGAGUAGAUUGGUGUUACAAAGCUCACUAAUUGAUGAAAUAUAAUGCAUGUAAUUAAAUGUGGAAAGGUGAAGGGUUGAGCAUUUAGAAGUGGAGAUUAAUGGUGGAGGGGAAUGGAUUGGAAUUACAAAGCUCACUAAUUGAUAGAAUAUGAUGCAUGCAAUUAAAUGUGGAGAGAUGAAGGGUUUAGCAUAGCAUUUAGAAGUGAGGAUUAAUAGUGGAGGGGAGUGGAUUGGAGUUACAAAGCUCACUAAUUGGUGAAAUAUAAUGCAUGUAAUUAAA